Molecule: ribosomal RNA, 500 nt
Filed under: Enterobacter cloacae
Lineage: Bacteria; Pseudomonadati; Pseudomonadota; Gammaproteobacteria; Enterobacterales; Enterobacteriaceae
Description: bacterial SSU rRNA
Rfam family: Bacterial small subunit ribosomal RNA
Source: RNAcentral
GAGGGGGACCUUCGGGCCUCUUGCCAUCGGAUGUGCCCAGAUGGGAUUAGCUAGUAGGUGGGGUAACGGCUCACCUAGGCGACGAUCCCUAGCUGGUCUGAGAGGAUGACCCGCCACACUGGAACUGAGACACGGUCCAGACUCCUACGGGAGGCAGCAGUGGGGAAUAUUGCACAAUGGGCGCAAGCCUGAUGCAGCCAUGCCGCGUGUAUGAAGAAGGCCUUCGGGUUGUAAAGUACUUUCAGCGGGGAGGAAGGCGAUAAGGUUAAUAACCUUGUCGAUUGACGUUACCCGCAGAAGAAGCACCGGCUAACUCCGUGCCAGCAGCCGCGGUAAUACGGAGGGUGCAAGCGUUAAUCGGAAUUACUGGGCGUAAAGCGCACGCAGGCGGUCUGUCAAGUCGGAUGUGAAAUCCCCGGGCUCAACCUGGGAACUGCAUUCGAAACUGGCAGGCUAGAGUCUUGUAGAGGGGGGUAGAAUUCCAGGUGUAGCGUUGAAAU